AGGGAACUCUCCCACUUGAUU
Molecule: unclassified non-coding RNA, 21 nt
Filed under: synthetic construct
Source: RNAcentral